UACGUAGGGGGCAAGCGUUGUCCGGAUUUAUUGGGCGUAAAGAGCUCGUAGGUGGUUCGGUAAGUCGGAUGUGAAAUCUCCAGGCUCAACCUGGAGGGGUCAUUCGAUACUGCCGUGACUAGAGGUCGGUAGGGGAGUGUGGAAUUCCUGGUGGAGCGGUGAAAUGCGCAGAUAUCAGGAGGAACACCGGUGGCGAAGGCGGGUCUCUGGGCCGAUAUUGACGCUGAGGAGCGAAAGCGUGGGGAGCAAACAGG
Molecule: ribosomal RNA, 254 nt
Filed under: uncultured bacterium
Lineage: Bacteria
Description: partial 16S ribosomal RNA
Rfam family: Bacterial small subunit ribosomal RNA
Source: RNAcentral